Molecule: ribosomal RNA, 423 nt
Filed under: uncultured bacterium
Lineage: Bacteria
Description: bacterial SSU rRNA
Rfam family: Bacterial small subunit ribosomal RNA
Source: RNAcentral
CAAGACCUGCGCUUUUGGAGCGGCCGAUGCCUGAUUAGCUUGUUGGUAAGGUAAAAGCUUACCAAGGCUUCGAUCAGUAGCUGGUCUGAGAGGACGGCCAGCCACACUGGGACUGAGACACGGCCCAGGCUCCUACGGGAGGCAGCAGUGGGGAAUUUUGGACAAUGGGGGCAACCCUGAUCCAGCCAUGCCGCGUGAGUGAAGAAGGCCUUCGGGUUGUAAAGCUCUUUCAGCCGGAACGAAACGGUUACGGUUAAUACCCGUGACUACUGACGGUACCGGAAGAAGAAGCACCGGCUAACUACGUGCCAGCAGCCGCGGUAAUACGUAGGGUGCGAGCGUUAAUCGGAAUUACUGGGCGUAAAGCGUGCGCAGGUGGUUUUGUAAGUCAGAUGUGAAAGCCCCGGGCUCAACCUGGGAACU